AGUUUUCAAUCUUUUUUAUUUAUUUAAACUGUACACAAAUGUAAAAUACUUCAACAGCAAAUCUAAGUGAAAAUUGUUUGGUUUAAAUUAUUAUGGAACAGAACCUAAAAGGAACUUUAUUAAAUAAACAUAAAAAUUGGAUUUAAAGGAUGCACAUAUUGUAAUGUAUUCUACAAUAGUCACUUUUUUUUCACUCUACAUUCCAUGUGCGUAUGGUAUAGAAAAGACACUGAAUAGAACAAACAGAAUCCAUUUUGUACCCUGAAACAAUUGGUAGGCCUUGUGAGGGAUUGCUCAGUAUGACUACAUGAUAUAUGAUGGCUUUGCCAUCUCAUAAAAAUUAUAACUAAUAUGUUGGCCUCUUUGGUUCCAAAAUUUCUGUAUAAUACAUUUAACUGUAUUCAUUUUUUGCUGCUAUAAAAAUAACAUUUUUUUUCAAAUGGCAGUUUUUGACUAAUCAUGCAACUAAAUCAGUGCAAACAUUAAAAGCAAUCAUUCGCUUUAAAAAAGAAGCAAAAGAUUUAAUUUCAAGUAUAAAAAAAUAUAAAAAAGUCAUAUCAUAAGUCCAGUUUUGUCUAGUAUGGGUCAACACUUUAAAUUGCAUAGCUCAUGCGGCACCUGUUUACCUAGAUAGUGAGCAAAGAUAAGUGCACUAUCAAGUACCACUUUUCAAGGCAUUGAAAUUUGCAAGUGCUAUUAUACGUGCAUUCAAGCAGUUUGCAAGUGCUAUGCUGUAUCAUUAUUUUCUGAUCUUUAUGGCCAUCCUUGACACCUCCUGGUAAGGAAAUUGAAAGCACUCUCCUCUCUCCUCCUUUCCAAGACUUGUAAAAAUGCUCCUCGCCUGUUAUUAAAUGCACUGCAUUUCCCAGAACGUCUCCACUCUGUCGCUGUCACUCCUCUUUAGGGUUCAUUGGUUUAGCCGUGGUGGCCAUUGCUUGUUUGCUCGUCCCCCACGUGACGUAGCCUUGCCGAGUCCCCCACUGAAGAACACAGAUUGCAACUUUUGACUUUUUGUUCUUUGCACAGUGAGAGAUGCCAACAGUCAACACAGUCCAGAUAUGGUAUCGAUUCCCUCUUCCAAGACACGGCGGGUGUAGCCAACCAUGGGUUGCUAGUGGGCAGUAAAAGCAUCGGAUCACGCCAGCCCAGCUUGUGACUCCGCAACGGCCAGGAGUUAGAAAUACAGCAGUUUCUAACAUGUCUGCCCCCUUUUCUCUCUCUCUCUCCCCCCGAUGGAACCACAGGAUUCCUUGCUGGAAGUGCUGUAGCAAGAAGUGGGUAUCUGUGAUGUUUAUGUUUAGAUAAAUUUAAAUUAAGAGGAAGUGAUAGCCUCCCAAGGCAGGUGUCCUGCAGCUUCCUGUUAGACCUAAGAGGUGACAGUCGACUUUUUUUUUUUCUUGUUUGUUUUUUUUUAGUUUUCUAAGUUUGGUCAUUUUGACACCUGCGUGCAAGA
Molecule: long non-coding RNA, 1453 nt
Filed under: Taeniopygia guttata (zebra finch)
Lineage: Eukaryota; Metazoa; Chordata; Aves; Passeriformes; Estrildidae
Description: lncRNA (ENSTGUG00000022663.1)
Source: RNAcentral